RNAcentral lists this ribosomal RNA (645 nucleotides) under uncultured bacterium. Its description in RNAcentral is "bacterial SSU rRNA". It matches the Rfam family "Bacterial small subunit ribosomal RNA", at positions 846 to 1490 of the family's 1533-position model. The record is from RNAcentral.
CUGGAGCUAACGCGUUAAAUCGACCGCCUGGGGAGUACGGCCGCAAGGUUAAAACUCAAAUGAAUUGACGGGGGCCCGCACAAGCGGUGGAGCAUGUGGUUUAAUUCGAUGCAACGCGAAGAACCUUACCUACUCUUGACAUCCAGCGAAUCCUUUAGAGAUAGAGGAGUGCCUUCGGGAACGCUGAGACAGGUGCCGCAUGGCUGUCGUCAGCUCGUGUUGUGAAAUGUUGGGUUAAGUCCCGCAACGAGCGCAACCCUUAUCCUUUAUUGCCAGCACGUAAUGGUGGGAACUCAAAGGAGACUGCCGGUGAUAAACCGGAGGAAGGUGGGGAUGACGUCAGGUCAUCAUGGCCCUUACGAGUAGGGCUACACACGUGCUACAAUGGCAGAUACAAAGAGAAGCGACCUCGCGAGAGCAAGCGGAACUCAUAAAGUCUGUCGUAGUCCGGAUUGGAGUCUGCAACUCGACUCCAUGAAGUCGGAAUCGCUAGUAAUCGUAGAUCAGAAUGCUACGGUGAAUACGUUCCCGGGCCUUGUACACACCGCCCGUCACACCAUGGGAGUGGGUUGCAAAAGAAGUAGGUAGCUUAACCUUCGGGAGGGCGCUUACCACUUUGUGAUUCAUGACUGGGGUGAAGUCGUA